CAUGCUAGAGCACUUUUUCAAUGUGCUCCCCAAAGAGAAGGCGACAGCACAUUCGUAUGUCAAUCCAUAUCAAAUUUCGAUGACAGCGCCUACCAUGUGACCACGGGUAACGGGGAAUCAGGGUUCGAUUCCAUACAGGGACCCUGACAAACUGCUACCACAUGCAAGGAAGGCAG
This is a non-coding RNA of Pelobates cultripes (western spadefoot toad), 176 nucleotides long. NCBI's taxonomy places the organism in Eukaryota, Metazoa, Chordata, Amphibia, Anura, Pelobatidae. The record is from the annotation of a GenBank genome assembly.